GAUGAACGCUGGCGGCGUGCCUAAUACAUGCAAGUCGAGCGAACAGACGAGGAGCUUGCUCCUCUGACGUUAGCGGCGGACGGGUGAGUAACACGUGGAUAACCUACCUAUAAGACUGGGAUAACUUCGGGAAACCGGAGCUAAUACCGGAUAAUAUAUUGAACCGCAUGGUUCAAUAGUGAAAGACGGUUUUGCUGUCACUUAUAGAUGGAUCCGCGCCGCAUUAGCUAGUUGGUAAGGUAACGGCUUACCAAGGCAACGAUGCGUAGCCGACCUGAGAGGGUGAUCGGCCACACUGGAACUGAGACACGGUCCAGACUCCUACGGGAGGCAGCAGUAGGGAAUCUUCCGCAGUGGGCGAAAGCCUGAGGAGCAACGCCGCGUGAGUGAUGAAGGUCUUCGGAUCGUAAAACUCUGUUAUUAGGGAAGAACAAAUGUGUAAGUAACUAUGCACGUCUUGACGGUACCUAAUCAGAAAGCCACGGCUAACUACGUG
Molecule: ribosomal RNA, 496 nt
Filed under: uncultured bacterium
Lineage: Bacteria
Description: partial 16S ribosomal RNA
Rfam family: Bacterial small subunit ribosomal RNA
Source: RNAcentral